UAGGGAAUCUUCGGCAAUGGGGGGAACCCUGACCGAGCAACGCCGCGUGAGUGAAGAAGGUUUUCGGAUCGUAAAGCUCUGUUGUUAAGGAAGAACGAGUGUGAGAAUGGAAAGUUCAUACUGUGACGGUACUUAACCAGAAAGGGACGGCUAACUACGUGCCAGCAGCCGCGGUAAUACGUAGGUCCCGAGCGUUGUCCGGAUUUAUUGGGCGUAAAGCGAGCGCAGGCGGUUAGAUAAGUCUGAAGUUAAAGGCAGUGGCUCAACCAUUGUAGGCUUUGGAAACUGUUUAGCUUGAGUGCAGAAGGGGAGAGUGUAAUUCCAUGUGUAGCGGUGAAAUGCGUAGAUAUAUGGAGGAACACCGGUGGCGAAAGCGGCUCUCUGGUCUGUAACUGACGCUGAGGCUCGAAAGCGUGGGGAGCGAACAGG
RNAcentral lists this ribosomal RNA (429 nucleotides) under Bacteroidota bacterium. RNAcentral describes it as "Bacteroidetes bacterium partial 16S ribosomal RNA". It matches the Rfam family "Bacterial small subunit ribosomal RNA", at positions 355 to 776 of the family's 1533-position model. The record is from RNAcentral. Lineage: Bacteria; Pseudomonadati; Bacteroidota.